This is a long non-coding RNA of Oncorhynchus keta (chum salmon), 2866 nucleotides long. RefSeq lists it as uncharacterized. The record is from RefSeq and is a predicted model, not a curated record. NCBI's taxonomy places the organism in Eukaryota, Metazoa, Chordata, Actinopteri, Salmoniformes, Salmonidae. The transcript has 3 exons.
ACCCAGAGAUGGAAAGGGACAGACAACACCGAGAUAUUUAGAGUUGACGGGAGCUGUAAAAAAAACAUCCUUUGAUUUACAUUCGUAAUAUAAAUAGGUCUUUCAUUCCUCUUUUGUUUGCAGUGCUAUUAAUAUCCCUAUACACUGAGUAGCUUCCAACAUUUAUUUGCUGUUGCUGAUCUGCAUGGAAUGUUUAACUUCUUUGGGACUGGGGGGCAGUAUUGAGUAGCUUGGAUAAAAAAGGUGCCCAGAGUAAACUGCCUGCUACUCAGCCAUAAAAACUAGAAUAUGCAUACAAUUAGUAGAUUUGGAUAGACAACACUCUAAAGUUUCUAAAACUGUUUGAAUGAUGUCUGUGAGUAUAACAGAACUCAUAUGACAGACAAAAACCUGAGAAAAAUCCAACCAGGAAGUGGGAAAUCUGAGGUUUGUAGUUCAACUAUUUGCCUAUUGACUAUAUAGUGUCUAUGGGGUCAUAUUGCACUUCCUAAGGCUUCCACUAGACGUCAACAGUCUUUAGAACCUUGUUUGAUGCUUCUACUGUGAAGGAGGGGGGAAUGGUAGCUGAAUGAGUCAGAGGUCUGCCAGAGUGGCAUGAGCUGAUCACGCACGCUCACGUGAGAGCGACCUGCGUUCCACUGCAAUUCUACAGACAAAGGAAUUCUCUGGUUGAAACAUUAAUGAAGAUUUAUGAUAAAAACAUCCUAAAGAUUGAUUCUAUACUUCGUUUGACAUGUUUCUAUGAACUGUAAUAUGACUUUUCAUCUGAACUUUCACCUGGACUUGCUCGGGCCUCAUGAGUUUGGAUUGUGUACUAAACGCGCGAGAAAAAAAAGGAGGUAUUUGGACAUAAAUAAUGGACAUUAUCGAACAAAACAAACAUUUAUUGUGGAACUGGGAUUGCUGGGAGUGCAUUCUGAUGAAGAUCAACAAAGUUAAGUGAAUAUUUAUAAUGCUAUUUCUGACUUCUGUUGACUCCACAACAUGGCAGAUAUCUGUAUGGCUUGUUUUGUGUCUGAGGGCUGUACUCAGAUUAUUGCAUGGUUUGAUUUUUCCGUAAAGUUUUUUUGAAAUCUGACACAGCGGUUGCAUUAAGGAGAAGUGUAUCUAUAAUUCCGGGCAUAAUAGUUGUGUCUUUCAUCAAUGUUUAUUAUGAGUAUUUCUGUAAAUUGAUGUGGCUCUCUGCAAAAUCACUGGAUGCUUCGGAACUACUGGAAAUAACGUGACAAUGUAAACUGACAUUUUUGGAUAUAAAUAUGAACUUUAUCGAACAAAACAUACAUGUAGUGUGUAACAUGAGGUCCUAUGAGUGUCAUCUGAUGAAGAUCCUCAAAGGUUAGUGAUUCAUUUUAUCACUAUUUCUGCUUUUUGUGACUCCUCUCUUUGGCUGGAAAAAUGGCUGUGUUUUUCUGUGACUUGGCUCUGACCUAAACACAAUCGUUUGGAUUGCUUUCGCAGUAGAGCCUAUUUGAAAUUGUACACUGUGGCUGGAUUUACAACACGUUUAUCUUUAAAAUGGUUUAAAAUACUUGUAUGUUUGAGGAAUUUUAAUUUUGGGAUUUCUGUUGUUUUGAAUUUGGCGCCAUGCAAUUUCACUGGCUGUUGGCGAGGUAGGACGCUACCGUCCCACAUAUCCCAGAGAAGUUAACAGCCUCAAAAAACAUGUAGAUAUUUACAGAAGAAGGAAUCUAAACCGUAACACAUGCAGUUAGAUAGAUAUUAAGGGUUUGGCUCAAUUUCAUAUACAUUUAGGAAGAAGUAAAUUCAAAUUUUUGAAUUGCAAAUUUCAGUUUAUUUCCUGUGAGGUAAAUAUUGAGAUAGAUCAGAGGAGGACAGAUCAGAGGACGGUCUGACAGACACGGCCAGACUGACCGAGGUUAUUGAGAUAGAUCAGAAGAGGACGAUCAGACAGACACGGCCAGACUGACCGAGGUUAUUGAGAUAGAUCAGAAGAGGACGAUCAGACAGACACGGCCAGACUGACCAAGGUUAUUGAGAUAGAUCAGAAGAGGACGGUCUGACAGACACGGCCAGACUGACAGAGGUUAUUGAGAUAGAUCAGAAGAGGACGGUCUGACAGACACGGCCAGACUGACAGAGGUUAUUGAGAUAGAUCAGAAGAGGACGGUCUGACAGACACGGCCAGACUGACAGAGGUUAUUGAGAUAGAUCAGAAGAGGACGAUCUGACAGAAAGAGCCAGACUGACAGAGGUUAUUGAGAUAGAUCAGAAGAGGACGAUCAGACAGACACAGCCAGACUGACAGAGGUUAUUGAGAUAGGUCAGAAUAGGACGGUCUGACAGACACGGCCAGACUGACAGAGGUUAUUGAGAUAGAUCAGAAGAGGACGGUCUGACAGACACGGCCAGACUGACAGAGGUUAUUGAGAUAGAUCAGAAGAGGACGGUCUGACAGACACGGCCAGACUGACAGAGGUUAUUGAGAUAGAUCAGAAGAGGACGAUCUGACAGACACAGCCAGACUGACAGAGGUUAUUGAGAUAGAUCAGAAGAGGACGAUCUGACAGACACAGCCAGACUGACAGAGGUUAUUGAGAUAGAUCAGAAGAGGACGAUCAGACAGACACAGCCAGACUGACAGAGGUUAUUGAGAUAGGUCAGAAUAGGACGGUCUGACAGACACGGCCAGACUGACAGAGGUUAUUGAGAUAGAUCAGAAGAGGACGGUCUGACAGACACGGCCAGACUGACAGAGGUUAUUGAGAUAGAUCAGAAGAGGACGAUCUGACAGACACGGCCAGACUGACAGAGGUUAUUGAGAUCAGAGGAGGACGGUCAGACAGACACGGCCAGACUGACAGAGGUUAUUAAGAUAGAUCAGAAGAGGACGGUCAGACAGACACGG